AAGGAAACUUCCUUUAUUGGUAAGAAGGGCUGAGCUGUAAACUCAGUAGCUAUAAGCUUCUAAGAGUUCGAAUCUCUUGUUUCCUA
Molecule: transfer RNA, 86 nt
Filed under: Diaporthe longicolla
Lineage: Eukaryota; Fungi; Ascomycota; Sordariomycetes; Diaporthales; Diaporthaceae
Description: tRNA-Tyr
Rfam family: tRNA
About the family: Transfer RNA (tRNA) molecules are approximately 80 nucleotides in length. Their secondary structure includes four short double-helical elements and three loops (D, anti-codon, and T loops).
Source: RNAcentral